UUAUAAGGCCAGCUUUCUCUUCACUACAACAUGCUAAGCCUUCCUACAUAGCUCAGAAAGAGCAUCAAUAGAAGCAGGGAUGAGAAAACUCAUUCAUUUCUUCCUUCUGUUCAUGUGGUCUGUGGUAUACUCCCAGUACAACACUAUGUUCCUCUCUGCAGUGAUAUUCAAGCAAAAGUUUUUCAUCAUAAUUCCCAAACCUGUUUUUUAAUUUCAUCACAUAUGAGAUUGAGAGCUUACAUGACUUUCUCAGAGCCAUAGAGAAAAUAUGUAGCAGAGGCAUGACUUGAAUCCUCCCUUCACUUCCUCAUGGUAUUUCAUGAAAUACAACAAAAUACAAAGGCACCUCUUGGAAGGUUUAUUUUGGAGUACCACCAAACCAGUGUCAUUUGACUCCCCAGAGGUCCUUGUGGCAGUAACACUUCAUGAUGGAGCAGAUGAAAUAAUGAUUGGGGAGUCUGGAUAAACUCAUCAUCCUAUCACAUACCUAUUCCUCCCCUUUGCUGUCAUAUCAGAUGCUUUCCUCAAUCUUCCACAGCUGGCAAUUUGAAAGAUGGGGAAGAUAUGAACAGUGGAGACAGGCAUGAGUCCCUUCUCUUGUGCCAUACUCACUAUGAUACCCACUUGCUCUCUUUAGCAAGUAUCAGGAAAAUGAGAAGAAUAAAGCAAGAGGAAGGGAACA
This 682-nucleotide long non-coding RNA is filed under the name Monodelphis domestica (gray short-tailed opossum). RNAcentral's name for it is "lncRNA (ENSMODG00000039903.1)". Lineage: Eukaryota; Metazoa; Chordata; Mammalia; Didelphimorphia; Didelphidae. The record is from RNAcentral.